Molecule: ribosomal RNA, 307 nt
Filed under: Staphylococcus aureus
Lineage: Bacteria; Bacillati; Bacillota; Bacilli; Caryophanales; Staphylococcaceae
Description: partial 23S ribosomal RNA
Rfam family: Bacterial large subunit ribosomal RNA
Source: RNAcentral
UUAGCUUCUGCGAAGCUACGAAUCGAAGCCCCAGUAAACGGCGGCCGUAACUAUAACGGUCCUAAGGUAGCGAAAUUCCUUGUCGGGUAAGUUCCGACCCGCACGAAAGGCGUAACGAUUUGGGCACUGUCUCAACGAGAGACUCGGUGAAAUCAUAGUACCUGUGAAGAUGCAGGUUACCCGCGACAGGACGGAAAGACCCCGUGGAGCUUUACUGUAGCCUGAUAUUGAAAUUCGGCACAGCUUGUACAGGAUAGGUAGGAGCCUUUGAAACGUGAGCGCUAGCUUACGUGGAGGCGCUGGUGGG